UAUUGGUGAGAGUCUAGUUACACGGACACAUAUAAUAAACAGUGCUAUAGAUUCAAAUAAAUAAUCGUUUAUUAUCGCGCUCUAGGUCGGACUAGGUUAGGUUUGGUUAGGUUCGGGUGGGCUUGGAUGGCCUGGGGCCUCAAUUAAAGCCUUUGUUAUUGUUUUGUGUCCGUAUAACUAGACUGUUACCAUUUUAUUCAUCCUAGAAUCAGAAAUUAAAAAUAUAAAAUGCUUCUAACUUAAGGACUGAACAUUAGUUUACAAAAAUGUACAAAUGUAUGUAUUUUUGAAUUCAUCAAGAAUCAACAAUUGCUGUUAAGGCGCAAUCACAAUGUGAAGCUCUUCAACAAUCUCAUCAAAUUCAAAUAAAACGGCAAAUGAAUCAGUCUCAUGUAAAAGAUUAAAUCAGGUGACAAUUAAUUUAUCUUCAAGUAUCUAUAUCUUGAAAGUGAUGUCUUGUGCCCACCAAGAAAUGUUUUAUAUUCAGUUUCUUCUAGUCUUACAAUUCAAAUGCCAUGUCAAGUGUGAAAAUUGUCAGAACCAGACCAUGAAUCGGCAAAAUUUUACCCAAAAAUCCUUCGUUACUCAUCUUUGACUUAAAAUUAUUUCAUGAUCUUGCCAUGUUUUUGUUGCAAAUCCAACAAUUUCUCAGCACCAAUACAUUUGCUUAAAAUGUUGGAUCAGUGGAUAGAUUGUAAAUCUGAUAAAAUUAGUUCUGAGUAAACAAAAUUUUCCUCAACUAUCCAUUCUCAAGUGAAACCAGCUUCAGAUGAAUAAUUGAAAAAAAAACGAAAUAAUGUUGAAAAUCUGUUGAUGAUGUUGUUCAUUAGAGCAAAUUGAUCACCUACUACGCGAUAUUACCAUUUGAAUGUAAAGAGUAAUCAAUAACCUUCAUUUGUUUACCUCAUCAUUUGUGUAUUAUGAUUCAUGAACAUCUUUUAAUUAUGAUUCCUAUCAGUGAAUGUUUAACAUUAAUCAUUAAAAUCCUCUUUUUGUGCUUUUU
Molecule: non-coding RNA, 1003 nt
Organism: Tetranychus urticae (two-spotted spider mite)
Lineage: Eukaryota; Metazoa; Arthropoda; Arachnida; Trombidiformes; Tetranychidae
Source: RefSeq, a predicted model, not a curated record